AACGCGAAGAACCUUACCUGGGCUAGACAACGGCGGACCGCCUGAGAAAUCAGGCUUUCCCUUCGGGGACUGCCGGUUCAGGUGUUGCAUGGCUGUCGUCAGCUCGUGUCGUGAGAUGUUGGGUUAAGUCCCGCAACGAGCGCAACCCUUAUCGUUAGUUGCCAGCGAGUCAAGUCGGGCACUCUAGCGAAACCGCCUCGGAUAACGGGGAGGAAGGUGGGGAUGGACGUCAAGUCCUCAUGGCCUUUAUGUCCAGGGCUACACACGUGCUACAAUGGCCGGUACAAACCGUCGCAAACUCGCGAGAGGGAGCUAAUCGGAAAAAGCCGGCCUCAGUUCGGAUUGGAGUCUGCAACUCGACUCCAUGAAGCUGGAAUCGCUAGUAAUCGCGGAUCAGCACGCCGCGGUGAAUACGUUCCCGGGCCUUGUACACACCGAUAUA
Molecule: ribosomal RNA, 442 nt
Filed under: uncultured bacterium
Lineage: Bacteria
Description: bacterial SSU rRNA
Rfam family: Bacterial small subunit ribosomal RNA
Source: RNAcentral